GGCCCCAUCGUCUAGCCCGGUCUAGGACGCGUGGUUCUCAGCCACAAAACACCGGUUCAAAUCCGGUUGGGGCUA
This 75-nucleotide transfer RNA is filed under the name Candidatus Omnitrophota bacterium. RNAcentral's name for it is "tRNA-Glu". It matches the Rfam family "tRNA". Rfam says of the family: Transfer RNA (tRNA) molecules are approximately 80 nucleotides in length. Lineage: Bacteria; Pseudomonadati; Candidatus Omnitrophota. The record is from RNAcentral.